CAGUACCACCACCACCACCACCGUCUGACCAGCAGAGCUCCGGAAGUGACCGCCUCGUUAUUGAUACGGAGCCAGAGGAGGAGGAGGAGGAAAUGGGGGAGCCUUCAGGCCAGCCUGAUGUCACUUACGUGGACUCUGAGUCGGAGGAGGAGCCACAGUAUAGUAAGUACAGUAGGAUUUUCUCAAGCCCAUUCUUAAAAGUAUUGACCAAGUCCACUUUUAUUACUUUUCAGGCAGGGAAUUCGAAACGUACAGUAUUUCCCUCACUGUGAAGACCCCUUUUCGCCUCUGUAUGCGAAAUCUCCUCUCCUCCAACACGAGUGACUGUGCACGUGUCCUCUG
Molecule: long non-coding RNA, 342 nt
Organism: Pseudophryne corroboree (corroboree frog)
Lineage: Eukaryota; Metazoa; Chordata; Amphibia; Anura; Myobatrachidae
Exons: 3
Source: RefSeq, a predicted model, not a curated record